Molecule: non-coding RNA, 5004 nt
Organism: Oryctolagus cuniculus (rabbit)
Lineage: Eukaryota; Metazoa; Chordata; Mammalia; Lagomorpha; Leporidae
Source: RefSeq, a predicted model, not a curated record
GAGCACGAGAAGUUUGGCCCCAGCGGUCUGAAAUAUUCUCAUUAGGACGUGGGCUAGGUGCCUGCUUCCUGCACAGCUAGGUGCCUGGCAAGGUUCAUUAGGAACUGUCGGGACUCAUACGGGCAAGCAUGGUGGGGGAGGGAGCCGAGAGAGAUCCGCGUGCCCACAGGGCACGUUCCGAGGUGCCAAAGAGGCCAAUUCCAUCCCCAACCAGCCCGUUGCCGGGAACCAGCUGGAAAACGGAAUGAUCGGUCAGCCUCGGUUUGGGACGAAGGCAGCGGUCAUGGCCUCAACCGCUGGCCUAGACACCUGGCUUCUAGGGCCCGCCCGCCGGGCAAACCCGUCUCUGUGGUCUGCAGUUCCUGAAAUAGCUCCAAAGCAAUACAGGUGGAGGAAGAGUCUUUUGUUAUUGCUCACCAGCCCCUUUCAACUGCACCUGUGAAGGAGGUGACUUUUGGAAAGCACCUAGAGUGAAUCUAGAUGUUUAAGAGAAGCAAAUGUGAACCUGUCUUCUGACCUCUGUGAGACCUCAAGUAGGUGAAAAGAAGUACUGAAGGUCACUAACAGGGAAGUUGGAAGUAUCUGGACUUUAACCUGCAAUUGCACGUUUUGUAACAGAACCAACAUUUUUGGACAAAAUCACCGUCGUGAACUUUGCAGUUGUUGGCUCCGAGGGAACCCUCUAAACAAAUGUGUACGUGGCUCUGGGGAUCAUGACAUCUUAGAGGCAUCUUUUUCAAUUCCCAUUUUACUGAAGAGAAAGCUGAAGUCCAGCUGGGGUUGGUGACAUUCUGUAGUCAAACUUCCGCAUUUCUUGAAUAUGUAAAAUAUCUUAGAGUUCAAGAUCGUGUUUGCAGCUUUGGGUGCAUUACCUGGGAGCUGGAUCAGAUCUGGAGAAGCCAGGACUUGAACCACGCCCAUAUUGGAUACAGCAUUGAAGGCAAUGGGGGUUGACCUGCUACACCAUGGCUCCGGCCCCAAAAUAAGUGUUCUUUAUGGACCUUUUUAAAAUUAGGAAGCAAAAAGAAGUCAGAAGGAAUCAAGUCAGGACAAUCAGUGAAUACCUAGUAAUUUCCCAUCAAAACUCUCACAAAAUUGCCCUUGCUUGAUGAGAGAAAUGAGUAGGGACAUUGCUAUGCUGGAGAAGGACUCUGGUGAGAGCAGAUGAAAGUCGACACACAAAUACCUGGAGCUGCACAUCCCCAGAAAUCGCUGCCAUGAGCGUUGCUCUUGACCAGUCCACUUUUGCUUUGACUGGAUUAUUUUUCCACCUCUCGGUAGCCAUUGCUUUGAUUGUGCUUUGUCUUCAGGACUGCACAUUUAAGGCCAUGUUUGAUCUUUUAACAUUCUUCAAAGAAAUGCUUCAGGGUCCUAAUCCCAUUUUUUUUUUUUUUUUUGACAGGCAGAGUGGACAGUGAGAGAGACAGAGAGAAAGGUCUUCCUUUUUCCGUUGGUUCACCCCCCAAUGGCCACUGCGGCCGGUUGCACUGCGCUGAUCCGAAGCCAGGAGCCAGGUGCUUCUCCUGGUCUCCCAUGGGGUGCAGGGCCCAAGCACUUGGGCCAUCCUCCACUGCACUCCUGGGCCACAACAGAGAGCUGGACUGGAAGAGGAGCAACCGGGACAGAAUCCGGCGCCCUGACAGGGACAGGAACCCGGUGUGCUGGCGCCGCAGGUGGAGGAUUAGCCUAGUGAGUCAUGGUGCUGGCCUAUCCCAUUGUUUUAAAUUUUGUAAAUUUAGAAGCUCUGCUUCUGUCUGCAGCUGAUCUGGAGCAACAUUGGACAACCAUAGAGCAGAAACCAUACUCCACUUACAUUUCUCCCAGAGUUGUGAAAGCUGAACUACCUGGGAUGUGUUUGAUGUUGGCUAUUGUUUCUGCUCUUAAACAUCAGUUCUCUUCAAUUUAGGUACAAACCAGAUGAAUGUUUUCCUUACAAAUUGAGGAGGAUGUCUUCCUGCUAACGCUUCAUCUUGAACAUUGUCUCGUUCUUUCUUGAAAUGAAUUAUUUACUUGUAAGCUACUAACUUCAUUGGGGCAUUGUCUCUAUAAGGUUUUCAUGAAGGACCAAUGAUUCUUCCAUUCAAGUUUCAUCAUGAAUUUAUUGGUUUUUUAUUUUAUUUAUUUGAGAAGUAGAGUCACAGAGAGAGGGAGAGACAGAAAGAAACAUCUUCUGUCCACUGGUGCACUCCUGAAAUGGCUGCAAUGCCCAGAGCUGAGCCAAUCUAAAGCUAGGAGCCAGGAGCUUCUUCCGCAUCUCCUAUGUGGGUUCAAGUGCACUGGGCCAUCUUUUACUGCUUUCCCAGACCAUAGCAGGGAGCUGGAUUGGAAGUGGAGCAGCUGGAACUCCAACUGGUGCCCACGUGAGAUGCCAGGCCACAGGCAGAGGCUUAACCUACUAUGCCACAACACUGGCCCCAUGAAUUUAAUGCUUGUUCUUGCAUCAACUUUAGCAGAAUUUACAUUGGUCUGAUAAGGACAGUCUUCUUGGCCUUCUUGUACUUCAAAUUAGAUCCUGUCCAAGCACGUUAUAUAACUAGUAUUGCAAGCUUAUUCUGGUGCAAAAGAAUUUAAAGUCUUUUCACAGCUUUUUCAUAAUUUGCAUUUUUGAUGACCCUUCAUAAAAGCACCUAACUCCAAUUUGGGGAAGGUAAAGAGAUACUUUAUGUUAGUUUUGAUGAAGUGAGUUGUGCUAGAUUUUUAUAUAAAGACCACCUCUGGUUCAGGGAAUGGCCUGGACAAAGGCAUGGAGGUAGGAAAGGCGUGGCAUGGAGGACUGCUUUGCAUUCUUUGUGGUGGGCCUGUAGGAAUGCAUGUGGGAAGUCCAACACUGCCUGCAGAAAUUGGAUUCUGGCCAAAAGAAAGCCACUGGGGUCAGCUCACACUGCUACUUUGUUAGAUCCACAGUGCACAAAAGGGCAGGAGCAGUCAUAUUUUCAGUGAGUCACAUGUAAGUGGCCGCAUGUUUGCCCAGGUCUUGCCCUCAAGGUACUAAGUCUUGAGUGAUCAUUUGGCACAGCAGUUAAAAUGCCACUCGAGGAGCCAGUGCUGUGGUAUAGAAAGCUAAGCUUCCACCUACAGUGUCAGUAGCCCAUAUGGGCACUGGUUUGAGUCCUGGCUGCUCCACUUCUGAUCCAGCUCCCUGCUAAUGUUCCUGGGAAAGCAGUGGAAGAUGGCCCAAGUGCCUGGGCCCCUCCUGCCCAUGCUAGCCCUGGCCAUUGCCACCAUCUGGGGAGUAAAUCAGCAGUGGAAGGUCUCUCUGUCUCUCUUUCUGUGGCUCUUUCAAUGAAUACAUAAAUCUUAAAAAAGAAAGAAAGAAAGAAAUACAGGUGAAAAUAGGCUUCUCAUCCAGGUUGGAGAUGGUGCCUUUUGGGACCCUUGGUGCCUGUCUUCCAGAUUCAGCAGAGUCUAAGUUUGGCCUUGAACAGCUCUGGGAUGGGCACCAUGGCACACAGCUCCAGGAUGGCCCACUGCAUAUCAGGUGAGCUGGGGCAGUUGGUGUGCCUUUGGAGUUGGCAUUUGGGUGGGGCAGCACCCUUUGUCCAAGGAGAAGAUGGCAAAGGCUAGAGGCAUCUCUCUCCAACAGGGAGCCCAUUAGCUGACUUCACACUCAGGCCCAUGCAACUGAAUCCUGAGAACUUCCAACUGCAGGCAUCUGUUUGCCCCAGGCCAGUGGCAAGGUAUCAGUUUCAGCUUUCAAGAUUUGACAUUAAAGUCCAAGAGUGGGCCAAGCACCUAAUAAGUCACCUGUUCACAUGUGCAACCUUGGGAUGUUUCUCCUUAAGGACCGUAAGGAGAGCAUCAUCAAGGCCCUGCUGGGAUGCUCUGAACUGUUCUAGGUGGCUCGUCUUACAGUCUUACAGUCUGUCCUGAUGGGGAGAACCUGUACAACGUCUCCUGAAAAUAAUUCCAGGGUCUGGCUCUGUGGUGCAGUAGGUUAGUCCUCUGCCUGUAGUGCUGGCAUCCUGUAUGGGCACAGCUUUGAGACCUGGCUGCUCCUCUUCUGAGCUAGCUCUCUGCUGUGGCCUGGGAAAGCGGUGGAAGAUGGCACAAAUGCUUGGGCCCCUGCACCCUCAUAGGAGAUAUGGAAGAAGCUCCUGGCUCCUGGCUUCGGAUUAGCUCAGCUCUGGCUCUUACGGCCAUUUGGGGGAGUGAACCAGCAGAUGGAAGACCUUUCUCUCUGUCUCUUCAUCUCACUGUCUGUAAUUCUUUUUUAAUUUGACAGGCAGAGUUAGACAGUGAGAGAGACAAAAAGAAAGGUCUCCUUCCGUUGGUUCACCCCCCAAAUGGCCACUACGGCCCGUGUGCUGCGCCGAUCCAAAGCCAGGAUCCAGGUGCCUCCUCUUGGUCUUCCAUGUGGGUGCAGGGGCCCAAGUACCUGGGCCAUCCUCCACUGCAUUCCUGAGCCACAGCAGAGAGCUGGACUGGAAGAGGAGCAACCGGGACUAGAAUCCAGUGCCCAUACGGGAUGCUGGCGCCACAGGUAGAGGAUCAACCAAGUGAGCCACGGUGCCGGCCCUCACUGUCUGUAAUUCUACCUCUCAAAUAAAUAAAUAAAUAAAAUAUUUUUUUAAAAAAAGAAAAUUCCAUUUGCCUUCAUUUGCUCUGAAGCUUUAGGAUCUUCAGUGAAAGUUUUGUUCAUGCGUCAUAAAAGUGAAUCAUUUCAAAAGCUAAAAAAAGAAGUCUAUGACACGCUCUAAAGAAAAUUAUUCAGUAUUAACCUGAUCAACACCUCCUACUCACUCAGCAUCUUAUGUAGAUCAGAAUGCUGGAGUGGGAAGGCAUCCCAGGGAAGAUCAGCCUCCUGGGCUCAGUUAGGGGGACCUAACCCUGUGCAUAAUGACACAAGGCAACAGCAGGGCUGGUGCUGAAGCCCACAACUUAUAAGCACGUUUUUCUCUUCCCUCUGUGAGCAGCCUCCAGCGUGCACAAUGUUGUCAAACUCCCUGAGCCACAGCUCACCCUGUUCACUUCCUCCGGGCCCUUGCAGUCAUCAGCCCGGCUUGG